GUUACUGAGUGUGUUGUUGCUGCCUUUGUUGCGCUUUUCCCCUCGUUGUUACUGUUUGAUAUUUUUGCCGUUAGUUCUUGUUUCUCUCAUUUGCGUUUGACCCCAUGUGGUCCUUUUAUUUUGUGUUUUACCGCUUGGUGUUCUGUUCCGUUUUCUUUAAUAACCCCCCUUGUCUUAGAGCCGUAAGUGGGCCGUCGCUCUCAUUUCCCGCCUGCACCGUGCCCCGUGCCUAAUACCCUGAGCAAGGCCCUUAACCCCCAAUCGCUCCACUGGCUGAACCUGCUUAUUUUGGAUGAAGGUGGUUUAGGCCAGUUCCACCUUCUCAUUUGUGGCGGCUGCUCUCUCGUGCAGGACUCCAGCAGGUUGGGGGGGGGACUGAUUGGCAGGAUGAUGACAGCAGGCGGGACCGAAGGCUCGUGGGAGCAGCUGUACGGUGAUGGAGUCUGACAUACUUAUAGGUUACUUAGUAUUUCAUGAGACCACGACUGACAUCUCAAUUCAUGAAAGACAUCUCAGGCUGUCUGGAUGCCGUCUGUGCUCUGCAUCGUUUACCGCCCCCUGGGGGUGUGGGGGUAUAAGGGCACCUAGUCCACCGGUGAAGUCGCUUUAUUGUCAUUCGCCGGGCUUUGAACACAUCUCAGCCCUUAUUCAUACCAGCUCAAUAUUGCCUGACUGCGUCCAGCUUGGCAAAGACCUCACUGCUGGAUAGGUGUUAUGUAACGCACAUUUUUGAGAGAAAUUCACAGAAAGCUCUUGUCACGCUCCAGUGGUGCUGGCUGUUGAUCCUCUGCGUAUAUCAGGGUUAUUUUAAUGAGAGGAUUAAGGGAAAUUAAAGCAAAGUGCUCCGUCCCCCUGUGGGAUAGUUAAUGCGUGU
This is a long non-coding RNA of Paramormyrops kingsleyae, 874 nucleotides long. RefSeq lists it as uncharacterized. Lineage: Eukaryota; Metazoa; Chordata; Actinopteri; Osteoglossiformes; Mormyridae. The record is from RefSeq and is a predicted model, not a curated record.